GAAUGAAGAACGCAGUGAAAUGCGAUAACUAAUGUGAAUUGCAGAAUUCAGUGAAUCAUCGAGUCUUUGAACGCACAUUGCGCCCCCUGGUAUUCCGGGGGGCAUGCCUGUCCGAGCGUCAUUGCUGCCCUCAAGCACGGCUUGUGUGUUGGGCUCCGUCCCCCCGGGGACGGGCCCGAAAGGCAGCGGCGGCACCGAGUCCGGUCCUCGAGCGUAUGGGGCUUUGUCACCCGCUCUGUAGGCCCGGCCGGCGCCAGCCGACAACCCAUCAUCCUUUUCAGGUUGACCUCGGAUCAGGUAGGGAUACCCGCUGAACUUAAGCAUAUCAAUAAGCGGAGGA
RNAcentral lists this unclassified non-coding RNA (340 nucleotides) under soil metagenome. Its description in RNAcentral is "partial contains 5.8S ribosomal RNA, internal transcribed spacer 2, and large subunit ribosomal RNA". The stretch from base 3 to 121 matches the Rfam family "5.8S ribosomal RNA", at positions 36 to 154 of the family's 154-position model. The record is from RNAcentral.